Molecule: ribosomal RNA, 1428 nt
Filed under: Acinetobacter baumannii
Lineage: Bacteria; Pseudomonadati; Pseudomonadota; Gammaproteobacteria; Moraxellales; Moraxellaceae
Description: partial 23S ribosomal RNA
Rfam family: Bacterial large subunit ribosomal RNA
Source: RNAcentral
AGUCAAGUAAUUAAGUGCAUGUGGUGGAUGCCUUGGCAGUCAGAGGCGAUGAAAGACGUGAUAGCCUGCGAAAAGCUCCGGGGAGGCGGCAAAUAUCCUUUGAUCCGGAGAUGUCUGAAUGGGGGAACCCACCUACUUUAAGGUAGGUAUUGCAACAUGAAUACAUAGUGUUGCAAGGCGAACGAGGGGAAGUGAAACAUCUCAGUACCCUUAGGAAAAGAAAUCAAUUGAGAUUCCCUCAGUAGCGGCGAGCGAACGGGGAUCAGCCCAUUAAGUUAUGUGUGUUUUAGUGGAACGCUCUGGGAAGUGCGAACGUAGAGGGUGAUAUUCCCGUACACGAAAGGGCACACAUAAUGAUGACGAGUAGGGCGAGGCACGUGAAACCUUGUCUGAAUAUGGGGGGACCAUCCUCCAAGGCUAAAUACUCCUGACUGACCGAUAGUGAACCAGUACCGUGAGGGAAAGGCGAAAAGAACCCCUGUGAGGGGAGUGAAAUAGAUCCUGAAACCGCAUGCAUACAAGCAGUGGGAGCACCUUCGUGGUGUGACUGCGUACCUUUUGUAUAAUGGGUCAGCGACUUAUAUUCAGUAGCGAGGUUAACCGUAUAGGGGAGCCGUAGAGAAAUCGAGUCUUAAUAGGGCGUUUAGUUGCUGGGUAUAGACCCGAAACCAGGCGAUCUAUCCAUGAGCAGGUUGAAGGUUGGGUAACACUAACUGGAGGACCGAACCCACUGUCGUUGAAAAGCCAGGGGAUGACUUGUGGAUAGGGGUGAAAGGCUAAUCAAGCCUGGUGAUAGCUGGUUCUCCCCGAAAGCUAUUUAGGUAGCGCCUCGGACGAAUACCAUAGGGGGUAGAGCACUGUUUCGGCUAGGGGGUCAUCCCGACUUACCAAACCGAUGCAAACUCCGAAUACCUAUGAGUACUAUCCGGGAGACAGACUGCGGGUGCUAACGUCCGUAGUCAAGAGGAAAACAAUCCAGACCGCCAGCUAAGGCCCCAAAAUCAUAGUUAAGUGGGAAACGAUGUGGGAAGGCAUAGACAGCUAGGAGGUUGGCUUAGAAGCAGCCACCCUUUAAAGAAAGCGUAAUAGCUCACUAGUCGAGUCGGCCUGCGCGGAAGAUGUAACGGGGCUAAAACUAUGUGCCGAAGCUGCGGAUGUAUACUUUGUAUACGUGGUAGGGGAGCGUUCUGUAAGCCGAUGAAGGUGUGUUGAGAAGCAUGCUGGAGGUAUCAGAAGUGCGAAUGCUGACGUGAGUAACGACAAAACGGGUGAAAAACCCGUUCGCCGAAAGACCAAGGGUUCCAGUCCAACGUUAAUCGGGGCUGGGUGAGUCGACCCCUAAGGCGAGGCCGAAAGGCGUAGUCGAUGGGAAAAUGGUUAAUAUUCCAUUACUUCUGUGUAAUGCGAUGAGAGGACGGAGAAGGCUAA